Long non-coding RNA from Cannabis sativa, 720 nucleotides. RefSeq lists it as uncharacterized. The transcript is spliced from 2 exons. Lineage: Eukaryota; Viridiplantae; Streptophyta; Magnoliopsida; Rosales; Cannabaceae. The record is from RefSeq and is a predicted model, not a curated record.
CUUCGUCAAUCAUCCCAGCACUAUAAUUUUGUUCUUCAAAAUCCCAAAUCAUAACCCAAAUCACAAAAUUGCAACCCAAAUCCUUUAAUUACAUUUAUAUAGAAACCCACGUUGCAAUCCUAAAUCACCAUUGAGAAAUCUACUACAGAACAAGAAGAACAAGUUGAGUUUGUUUAGCUCAAUCAGGAAGGAAAAUUUAAUUGAUAGUUUGCUUGUGGUUAAUUUUGACUAUCAUUAUCUUCUUUCUCCAUUCAACCAUUCAUUAGUAUUGGCAAUAGUUUGACUAUUUUCAUCAUCAUCAUCAUCUUUCCUUUGAUCAACUCUUUAAGCUUGAAAGCUAAUUCAAGGUGAGAAAUUAAAUCUAAAAAGAUUAUAUCCUCCAACUCUUAUUUGGUUAGAGGCUGUCUUUUUAUCUUGUGUAAUUUUAAAGAAUGAAAAUGGUUCACACAAAGGUUUUCUUCAUGAUCUCUUCCGUCUCAUUUCGCUCCCCUUCCUUCUGCUUCUACUUCUUGUGUUGAAGUAAUGAUUUCAAGACCUGAUUUUGAUGUGUAAUGUCAAAGAUGUACGCCUACCUAGCCUACUUAUUUACUAUAUUAAUAUGCAAUAGCAACACAAAUUUGUGGACAUGAGAAUGACCAAAAGUAUCCAUGUCAAUAUUAAGUUGUUGUAAACCACCCCAUGCAUGUUAAAUAUAGAAUACUUGUAAUUAUGAUUCAAUCA